GCCCUGGUAGUAUAGAGGCCCAGUAUGCGGCGCUGUCACCGCCGUGACCCGGGUUCGAAUCCCGGCCAGGGCGCCA
Molecule: transfer RNA, 76 nt
Filed under: Nitrososphaerota archaeon
Lineage: Archaea; Thermoproteati; Nitrososphaerota
Description: tRNA-Asp
Rfam family: tRNA
About the family: Transfer RNA (tRNA) molecules are approximately 80 nucleotides in length. Their secondary structure includes four short double-helical elements and three loops (D, anti-codon, and T loops). Further hydrogen bonds mediate the characteristic L-shaped molecular structure. tRNAs have two regions of fundamental functional importance: the anti-codon, which is responsible for specific mRNA codon recognition, and the 3' end, to which the tRNAs corresponding amino acid is attached (by aminoacyl-tRNA synthetases). tRNAs cope with the degeneracy of the genetic code in two manners: having more than one tRNA (with a specific anti-codon) for a particular amino acid; and 'wobble' base-pairing, i.e. permitting non-standard base-pairing at the 3rd anti-codon position.
Source: RNAcentral